Molecule: long non-coding RNA, 1273 nt
Filed under: Monodelphis domestica (gray short-tailed opossum)
Lineage: Eukaryota; Metazoa; Chordata; Mammalia; Didelphimorphia; Didelphidae
Description: lncRNA (ENSMODG00000036673.1)
Source: RNAcentral
GGGCUGGUGAUCCCGGAGCGAGCAAUGGAGGGGGAGCUUCUUUUCGAGGACCUGAAAGAGCUUGUGGAAAAACUGGUAGAAACAGAGGAUCCAUCAUCUGCGCCUGAGUCUAUUGACAGACUCUACAGUGAAGUGGGAAAUGUGGAAAAAAUGGCAUUUAGUGCUACCCAGAGAGCCCAGAUUGAAGUACUUGCAGUGAACCUAUGGAACUGGGCAGUGAGCAGAAGAGUAGGUCUACUAAUCCCUCCUGAACAAAAAGUUAAAUGUAAGUAGACAUCAACUGGCCUACAUGAUGAAAAAAUCCUCUUUUUGGGCAUUGAGAGACAUACAUUCUUAGAGUUUCAGACAGGGAGGCAGCCUAGAUUGGGGGGUCAGUGGGCCUGGGUUUGAAUCCUUUGGGCAUUGCCACUUACUACUGGCUGUGGGACCUUGGGUCAGUCACUUCCUUUCUGGGCCUCAUAUUCUUCAUCUGUAAAUUGAAGUAGGUUGGACCAGAUGACCUUUAACGUCACUUCCAACUCCACCUAUAUGAUCCCAAGUUAGUUUGGAGUCAUUUUUAAAUGGGAGAUUUAUUUUAUUUUUUUUAAUUGGAAAAAUUUAUUUAAUUGAUUAAUUUAGAAUAUUUUCCCAUGGUUAUGUGAUUCAUGUUCUUCCCUCCCCUCCCCUCCAUAGCCAAUGAGCAAUUCUACUGGGUUUUACUUGUGUCAUUGAUCAAGACCCAUUUCCAUAUUAUUGAUAAUUGCACUAGGGUGAUCGUUUAGAGUCUACAUCCCCAGUCAUAUCCCCAUCAACCCAUGUGGUCAAGCAGUUGUUUUUCUGCUGUGUUUCUACUCCUACAGUUUAUCCUCUGAAUGUGGAUAGUGCUUUUUCUCAUAACUCCCUCUGAGUUGUCUUGGACUACUGCAUUGCCACUAAUGGAGAAGUACAUUACAUUUGAUUGUACCACAGUGUAUCCAUCUCUGUGUACAUUGUUCUCCUGGUUCUGCUCCUCUCACUCUGUCUCCAUUCCUGGAGGUCGUUCCAGUUCACAAAAUGGGAGAUUUAUAAGAAAGACCUGAGCAGUAGUUUCACAAUGAGUAAACUCUCCGUGAUGGGCCUCCUUGGAUGUUUAUCCUUGAACACAAUGAGAUAUGAAACUCAAGGCUGUAGAUACUUCUUGAUAAAAGGGUACCAGGCAUAAACAUAAGAAAUUGGUUGAGACACCUAGCAGAUUGGCUAACAUUACAGCAAUGUAAAGUGAUGCAUGGUGGAGGGGAUGUGGCAAAGUAGGGAC